RNAcentral lists this ribosomal RNA (433 nucleotides) under uncultured bacterium. RNAcentral's name for it is "partial 16S ribosomal RNA". It matches the Rfam family "Bacterial small subunit ribosomal RNA", at positions 29 to 507 of the family's 1533-position model. The record is from RNAcentral.
AACGAACGCUGGCGGCAUGCCUAACACAUGCAAGUCGAACGAGACCUUCGGGUCUAGUGGCGCACGGGUGCGUAACGCGUGGGAACCCGCCCUUAGGUUCGGAAUAACUCCCCGACAGGGGUGCUAAUACCGGAUAAUAUCUUCGGACCAAAGAUUUAUCGCCUUUGGAUGGGCCCGCGUUGGAUUAGCUAGUUGGUAGGGUAAAAGCCUACCAAGGCGACGAUCCAUAGCUGGUCUGAGAGGAUGAUCAGCCACACUGGGAGUGAGACACGGCCCAGACUCCUACGGGAGGGAGCAGUGGGGAAUAUUAGACACUGGGCGAGAGUCUGAUCCAGCAAUGCCGCGUGAGUGAUGGAGGCUUGAGGGUUGUAAAGCUCUAUGUACCGGGAUGAUAAUGACAGUACCGGGAGAAUAAGCUCCGGCUAACUCCGUG